RNAcentral lists this ribosomal RNA (291 nucleotides) under uncultured bacterium. Its description in RNAcentral is "partial 16S ribosomal RNA". It matches the Rfam family "Bacterial small subunit ribosomal RNA", at positions 505 to 796 of the family's 1533-position model. The record is from RNAcentral.
GUGUCAGCAGCCGCGGUAAUACGUAGGGGGCAAGCGUUGUCCGGAAUUAUUGGGCGUAAAGCGCGCGCAGGCGGUUCAUUAAGUCUUCUGUUUAAAGCCAGGGCUCAACUCUGGUACGCAGGGGAAACUGGUGGACUGGAGUGCAGGAGAGGAAAGUGGAAUUCCACGUGUAGCGGUGAAAUGCGUAGAGAUGUGGAGGAACACCAGUGGCGAAAGCGGCUCUCUGGCCUGUAACUGACGCUGAGGCGCGAAAGCGUGGGGAGCAAACAGGAUUAGAUACCCUGGUAGUCC